RNAcentral lists this small RNA (27 nucleotides) under Bombyx mori (domestic silkworm). RNAcentral describes it as "ovarian small RNA-13441". The record is from RNAcentral. Lineage: Eukaryota; Metazoa; Arthropoda; Insecta; Lepidoptera; Bombycidae.
CAUUCGGUUAUUUUGAGGUUACGCAUG